Sander lucioperca (pikeperch) is the source of this 136-nucleotide long non-coding RNA. RefSeq lists it as uncharacterized. The transcript has 3 exons. The record is from RefSeq and is a predicted model, not a curated record. NCBI's taxonomy places the organism in Eukaryota, Metazoa, Chordata, Actinopteri, Perciformes, Percidae.
UGUACUGUGUAGAUACUUAGAUUGCGGGUCAGAAUAGCCAGAAAAGCAUGCUGGCUUGCAUACUGCAAAAUGUGACCGGAUGAAGUAAGACAUACUGGUAUUUUUGGCAUACUGCAUUUGACACACUAUGUAUUGG